This 565-nucleotide long non-coding RNA is filed under the name Homo sapiens (human). RNAcentral's name for it is "HSALNT0344931". Lineage: Eukaryota; Metazoa; Chordata; Mammalia; Primates; Hominidae. The record is from RNAcentral.
UUCAAAAGGUGAGAAAUUAGCCUGGUAAGAGGUGCACCUUAAUUUAAGUAGGGCUAAAGGAAGGAGACUUACUUAAUUUACACUGUUUUUUUAAGAUUAAUUUUAUAAGAGUGUUUUUUAGGGUGUGGUUCAUGCGUUCUACUUGCCUGGAGCUCUGGGGUUGAUAGGCACAAUGGAGCUUCUGUUGAAUGUUUAACGCCUUACUGACUGACUGAGCUAUAGGCGAGGUGAAGGCUGCUCUAUUAUCAGACUUUAUGGCAGCAGGCAGCCUAUAUUGAGGGAUGAUUUCAUUGAGUAAAAACUUAACUACUAUGUUGGUGGUUUCGUUUUCGGUAGCAAAUGCCUUAGUCUAUCUGGAGAAGGUGUCUACUAGUACUAGAAGAAACUCCUGGAGGGCAGAGGCAUGCCUGCCAUCUUCAUCAUUGCAUUACCACCACCCAACACUAUCGGGGGACCUGCCCUGAUAAUCAGUCUACAGGUGUAUCCAGCAGCUCCAGAGAGACAGCGACCAGCGAGAAGGGGCCAUGAUGAUGGUGGUGGUUUUGUCAAAACGAAAAGGGGGAUA